CGGCGAGUGAAGAGGGAAAAGCUCAAAUUUUAAAUCUACCUGGUUCCCAGGUCGAAUUGUAAUUUGAAGAAGCGAUAUCUGUGUUGAGGUCUGGUUCAAGUUCUUUGGAACAAGACAUCACGGAGGGUGAGAAUCCCGUGCAUGAUCAGACCAAGAUACUUAAUAUUCGUUUUCUAGGAGUCGAGUUGUUUGGGAAUGCAGCUCAAAUUGGGUGGUAGACUUCACCUAAGGCUAAAUAUCAGCGAGAGACCGAUAGCGAACAAGUACUGUGAAGGAAAGAUGAAAAGCACUUUGAAAAGAGAGUUAAAUAGUACGUGAAAUUGUUGAAAGGGAAACGAUUGAAGUCAGUCAUGCUAGUGAAAAUUCAGUUUGACGGGUUUUGGGUUUAGGAGUAAGAGGUAGGGUUAAACCGUCUCUCUUUUAAACUUGGGAUUUGUCGGAUGCACUUUUUCUUUGGCAGGUCAGCGUCGAUUUCGAGGGUUGUAAAAUACUUGGGGGAAAGUAGCUCUGCUUCGGGAGAGUGUUAUAGACCUUGGGAGAUGCAGCCCGUGGGAUCGAGGAUUGCAGCAAAUGCCUUUGGCUUGUCUUCUGAUCUUUGGUUGUUACCUCGUUUAUGACAACAUUCUUGUCAUCGAUGAGUUCUAAUGGUUGUGGGUUAGAA
Molecule: ribosomal RNA, 661 nt
Filed under: Diversispora epigaea
Lineage: Eukaryota; Fungi; Glomeromycota; Glomeromycetes; Diversisporales; Diversisporaceae
Description: partial large subunit ribosomal RNA
Rfam family: Eukaryotic large subunit ribosomal RNA
Source: RNAcentral